GUGCCAGCAGCCGCGGUAACACGUAGGAGGCAAGCGUUAUCCGGAUUUACUGGGCGUAAAGCGCGUGUAGGCGGUUCGGUAAGUUGGAUGUGAAAUCUCCUGGCUCAACUAGGAGAGGUCGUUCAAUACUGCCAGACUAGAGGACGGUAGAGGAAGGUAGAAUUCCCGGUGUAGUGGUGAAAUGCGUAGAUAUCGGGAGGAAUACCAGUGGCGAAGGCGGCCUUCUGGGCCGUUCCUGACGCUCAGACGCGAAAGCGUGGGUAGCGAACGGGAUUAGAAACCCUUGUAGUCC
This 292-nucleotide ribosomal RNA is filed under the name uncultured bacterium. RNAcentral's name for it is "partial 16S ribosomal RNA". It matches the Rfam family "Bacterial small subunit ribosomal RNA", at positions 505 to 796 of the family's 1533-position model. The record is from RNAcentral.